Molecule: unclassified non-coding RNA, 379 nt
Filed under: uncultured Oligoflexales bacterium
Lineage: Bacteria; Pseudomonadati; Bdellovibrionota; Oligoflexia; Oligoflexales
Description: contains 16S-23S intergenic spacer region
Source: RNAcentral
UCCGUGUUCACCACGGCAGUCUCCUUAGAGAGCCCAACUGAAUGCUGGCAACUAAGGACAAGGGUUGCGCUCGUUGCGGGACUUAACCCAACAUGUCACCACACGAGCUGACGACAGCCAUGCAGCACCUGUCACUUUGUCGUAUUGCUACGAAAGCCGUAUCUCUACGGAUGUCAAAGGAUGUCAAACCCAGGUAAGGUUUUUCGCGUUGCUUCGAAUUAAACCACAUGAUCCACCGCUUGUGCGGGCCCCCGUCAAUUCCUUUGAGUUUUAGUCUUGCGACCGUACUUCCCAGGCGGGGUACUUAGUGCGUUAGCUCCGACUCAGCAGGGGUCAAAUCCCACCAAGUCUAGUACCCAUCGUUUACAGCGUGGACUAC